GUGAAUCAUCAAAUCUUUGAACGCAAAUUGCGCCUCUUUCGGAAGGAAUGUCUGUUUGAGGGCACCAUUUAACAAAUAAUGUGCAGCGUGUUUGGUUUCACACGUUGAUGAGCUUUCAAAGAAUUUUAAAUUUUUGGUGGCACAUAAUGAACAACGUGAAAGAUUUUUUCAGUUCGAGUGUUGUAAAAUCUUAGCUUGGGUUGUGUAAAAACAUAAUCGUGCAAUGGGUGGGGCA
This 235-nucleotide unclassified non-coding RNA is filed under the name Paraglomus occultum. RNAcentral's name for it is "partial contains 5.8S ribosomal RNA and internal transcribed spacer 2". Lineage: Eukaryota; Fungi; Glomeromycota; Glomeromycetes; Paraglomerales; Paraglomeraceae. The record is from RNAcentral.